RNAcentral lists this ribosomal RNA (483 nucleotides) under uncultured bacterium. Its description in RNAcentral is "partial 16S ribosomal RNA". It matches the Rfam family "Bacterial small subunit ribosomal RNA", at positions 28 to 523 of the family's 1533-position model. The record is from RNAcentral.
GACGAACGCUGGCGGCGUGCUUAACACAUGCAAGUCGAACGAUGAAGCCGGAGCUUGCUCCGGUGGAUUAGUGGCGAACGGGUGAGUAACACGUGAGCAAUCUGCCCUUGACUCUGGGAUAACUGCGGGAAACUGUAGCUAAUACCGGAUACGACACCUUGGGGCAUCCCAGGGUGUGGAAAGAAUUUCGGUCAAGGAUGAGCUCGCGGCCUAUCAGCUAGUUGGUGAGGUAAUGGCUCACCAAGGCGACGACGGGUAGCCGGCCCGGGAGGGGGACCGGCCACACUGGAACUGAGGCACGGUCCAGACUCCUACGGGAGGCAGCAGUGGGGAAUAUUGCACAAUGGGCGAAAGCCUGAUGCAGCAACGCCGCGUGAGGGAUGAAGGCCUUCGGGUUGUAAACCUCUUUUAGCAGGGAAGAAGCGAAAGUGACGGUACCUGCAGAAAAAGCACCGGCUAACUACGUGCCAGCCGCCGCCGUAA